AAUAGAUACCCCAGGUAGUCCACGCCGUAAACGAUGAGUGCUAAGUGUUAGGGGGGUUUCCGCCCCUUAGUGCUGCAGCUAACGCAUUAAGCACUCCGCCUGGGGAGUACGGUCGCAAGACUGAAACUCAAAGGAAUUGACGGGGGCCCGCACAAGCGGUGGAGCAUGUGGUUUAAUUCGAAGCAACGCGAAGAACCUUACCAGGUCUUGACAUCCCAUUGACCACUAUGGAGACAUAGUUUUCCCUUCGGGGACAACGGUGACAGGUGGUGCAUGGUUGUCGUCAGCUCGUGUCGUGAGAUGUUGGGUUAAGUCCCGCAACGAGCGCAACCCUUGUUCUUAGUUGCCAUCAUUUAGUUGGGCACUCUAAGGAGACUGCCGGUGACAAACCGGGAGGAAGGUGGGGAUGACGUCAAAUCAUCAUGCCCCUUAUGACCUGGGCUACACACGUGCUACAAUGGACGGUACAAACGGUUGCCAACCCGCGAGGGGAGCUAAUCCGAUAAAACCGUUCUCAGUUCGGAUUGUAGGCUGCAACUCGCCUACAUGAACG
Molecule: ribosomal RNA, 553 nt
Filed under: uncultured bacterium
Lineage: Bacteria
Description: bacterial SSU rRNA
Rfam family: Bacterial small subunit ribosomal RNA
Source: RNAcentral